AUUGUACAACCACCGUUCCAAAUUAGUUGACUCAGAUUUUUCUAGAUACGGAUGUAUCUGGACACGUUUUGGAUACAUCCGUAUGUAGACAAAUCUGAGUCAACUAAUUCGGGGCGGAGGGAGUAUAUA
Non-coding RNA from Triticum urartu, 129 nucleotides. The record is from Rfam. NCBI's taxonomy places the organism in Eukaryota, Viridiplantae, Streptophyta, Magnoliopsida, Poales, Poaceae.